This 485-nucleotide ribosomal RNA is filed under the name Crassostrea tulipa. RNAcentral describes it as "partial 16S ribosomal RNA". It matches the Rfam family "Bacterial large subunit ribosomal RNA", at positions 1831 to 2597 of the family's 2925-position model. The record is from RNAcentral. Lineage: Eukaryota; Metazoa; Mollusca; Bivalvia; Ostreida; Ostreidae.
GCUAAAGUAGUUGAUUUUAGUAGUACCUGCCCAGUGCGUAUUAUCUUGUUAACGGCCGCCUUAGCGUGAGGGUGCUAAGGUAGCGAAAUUCCUUGCCUUUUAAUUGUAGGCCAGCAUGAAUGGUUUGACGAGGGCCUCACUGUCUCUUAGUUCUAUGUUGAAAUUGUAGUGUAGGUGAAGAUACCUUCAUAAAAAAGUAAGACAAAAAGACCCCGUGCAACUUUGAAAAUUAAGCUAGAUUAAAUGGCAAAAGAUUUUUAGGUGGGGCGCCAAAAGAGGAAACUAUAACCUCUGCUGUUUAAGCUAAUUCUUACUGGAGUUGACCUGACUUAAGUCGAUCAAAGGAGAAGUUACGCCGGGGAUAACAGGCCAAUUCUUUAGUAAAGCUCGUAUUAACUAAAGGGCUUGGCACCUCGAUGUUGAAUCAGGGAUUAUAGCUUCAAGGCGUAGAUGCUUGGAUUAGUACGNCUGNCNCCUUNAACCCU